UAGGGGAUAUUGGUGAAUGGGCGAAAGCCUGAACCAGCAACGCCGCGUGUGCGAUGAAGGCCUUCGGGUUGUAGAGCACUUUUUGCCGGGAAGAGGAAGGACGGUACCGGUAGAAUAAGCCUCGGCUAACUACGUGCCAGCAGCCGCGGUAAAACGUAGGAGGCGAGCGUUAUCCGGAUUUACUGGGUGUAAAGCGCGUGCAGGCGGUUUGGUAAGUUGGGUGUGAAAGCUCCUGGCUCAACUGGGAGAGGUCGCUCAAGACUGCCAGACUGGAGCGUGGUAGGGGAAGGCGGAAUUCCGGGUGUAGUGGUGAAAUGCGUAGAUAUCCGGAGGAACACCAGUGGCGAAAGCGGCCUUCUGGACCAUGACUGACGCUCAGACGCGAAAGCUAGGGGAGCAAACG
This 403-nucleotide ribosomal RNA is filed under the name uncultured bacterium. RNAcentral's name for it is "bacterial SSU rRNA". It matches the Rfam family "Bacterial small subunit ribosomal RNA", at positions 355 to 774 of the family's 1533-position model. The record is from RNAcentral.